Molecule: ribosomal RNA, 516 nt
Filed under: alpha proteobacterium enrichment culture
Lineage: Bacteria; Pseudomonadati; Pseudomonadota; Alphaproteobacteria
Description: bacterial SSU rRNA
Rfam family: Bacterial small subunit ribosomal RNA
Source: RNAcentral
GGGGCAACCCUGAUCCAGCAAUGCCGCGUGUGUGAUGAAGGCCCUAGGGUUGUAAAGCACUUUCGCCGAUGACGAUGAUGACGGUAGUCGGAUAAGAAGCCCCGGCUAACUCCGUGCCAGCAGCCGCGGUAAUACGGAGGGGGCGAGCGUUGUUCGGAAUUACUGGGCGUAAAGGGCGCGUAGGCGGUGACGCUAGUCAGACGUGAAAGCCCCGGGCUCAACCUGGGAGGUGCGUUUGAUACUGCGUUGCUUGAGAGCGGAAGAGGGUAGUGGAAUUCCCAGUGUAGAGGUGAAAUUCGUAGAUAUUGGGAAGAACACCAGUGGCGAAGGCGGCUACCUGGUCCGUUUCUGACGCUGAGGCGCGAAAGCGUGGGGAGCAAACAGGAUUAGAUACCCUGGUAGUCCACGCCGUAAACGAUGAGUGCUAGUACGUCGGGGAACUUGUUCUUCGGUGUCGCCGCUAACGCAUUAAGCACUCCGCCUGGGGAGUACGGCCGCAAGGUUAAAACUCAAAGA